This 479-nucleotide ribosomal RNA is filed under the name uncultured marine bacterium. Its description in RNAcentral is "partial 16S ribosomal RNA". It matches the Rfam family "Bacterial small subunit ribosomal RNA", at positions 41 to 561 of the family's 1533-position model. The record is from RNAcentral.
GGAUUGCAGGGCGGAGCUUACCAUGCAGUCGUACGAGAGCUUCUGACUUAGUGGGGACGGGUGAAUAACGCGUGAGAUCUGCCUUCAGGAUGGGGACAACAGUUGGAAACGACUGCUAAUACCCCCUAUGCCUUACGGUGAAACUGAUUUUUUCUGAAGAUGAACUCGCUUGUGAUUAAUUAGUUGGUGGGGGAAGGGACUACCUACGCAACGAUCAAUAACUGGUCUGAUAGGAUGAACAAUCACACUGGGACUGACUCACAGCCCAGACUCCUUCCGGAGGGAGGAAUGGGGAAUUUUUUUUCCUGGGUGAAAGACUGACUGACCGAUACCUCUCGAGGGAGGAAUGACUGUGGAUUGUAAACCUCUUUUUUUUUUCAAGAAAUUUUACGGGACCUGACGAAUAAAAUACGGCUAACUCCAUUCCAGGCCACCCGCCAAUACGGAAGGGGGGAGCGUUAUCCGGAAUUAUUGGGCGG